GUCCGACUCAACUAAAACAAGCAAAAACAGAUAAACAAGCACAUACAAGUGUGCUCACAAGCAAAAACAGAUACACAAGCACCAAAACAUGGUGCAACAUCAACUAAAGCUGUGGUGCGCAUCUCCAUGCCUCUUUUGAUCUUCCAUGAUAGCAGCAACAACCUAAACAACAUUAGAUCACCAAAAAGAUACAUUAUUAAAUGUUUAGAUACAAUGCCAUCAACAUGAGGCGGUAAUCCAACUUAACACUUUGUUAACAUAUUUUACAUACGCAAAUAACUAAGCUUAUACUAUAUAAGUUUAUGACCCACAUGCAAUGUGAAAUUGAAUUGCCAAAUAUAUUGUUUGAGCAGUCACAGGCAGAGAAGGUAUAGCUACAGAAGUAGAAUAUGAAAAGUUAAUAUAUUGAGAAGGUUUUUGUGCAUCAACACUGAAUCAAAGAACAUAUUUCAAUAAUUUAGACAUGUCGUUUCAAGUUGUAGCAACAUCAUCUUGAGGCUGCUCAUCUAUCCUCAUUCUACUGGUUGAUGAUCAUUUAUAAAUUUUCGUGAAUAGAUCCUAGGCCUAAGACAUAUAAGAUACAUCCUUCACACAAAAAAAAGAUAUACGAGAUACAACAUGUUCCUAUUUGCAAAGCCUACCAAGAACAGAUCCUAGGCCUAAGACAUACUAGUUAUUACAGGACUUUGCUCCUAACAGUAGCAACAAAAUUCUUAGCAAUUGAACGACAGUAAGCACCACAUAUUCACUUCAUCAAGAGAUAAGUACCAAAAAUCAUCCUCAACAAAGAACUAAUUUGUUGGAAAACACAUGUCUUACUUACUGAACAUCCAGAUGCACCACAUCCCCAUGAGCCUCCACAUGUCUGGC
Molecule: long non-coding RNA, 870 nt
Filed under: Triticum aestivum (bread wheat)
Lineage: Eukaryota; Viridiplantae; Streptophyta; Magnoliopsida; Poales; Poaceae
Description: long non-coding RNA (TAES_LNC021852)
Source: RNAcentral